AUAACAGUUCCGAGUAGACGUUGUGCCCACUGCCCGAAACUGCCCACCACCAUUUCCGAGCCCGACACCCGGAACAAAUGUGUAAGUCCAAGAAGCUCACGCCGUACCAGGGCAAACACAAGUCGUUCGGAUACUUUUAUUGUCCGGAAUGCGAAGAGGAAUGGACCUCCAAAAACUCGUGGGCCAACACCUACCAGAUGUGCAUUACUUGCCACACGGUCGUCUACCCCUACAAGCAGCGCAAACAAUCAAGAUACGACGGCUCCGAGGACGACGAAAGUUCCCAUCCCGAGGACCUGUGCCAGCGGUGCAUCGAGACGGGAGAGCCGUGCUGGAAAACCGAAUAAGCCUUGAAGGUAACGGACAUCUGUGCAGCGAGACGACAGGAGGAGGUAGAUGAUGAGGCACUGGGAGAGAGGGAAGAGUAACAGUAGAGGAGGAGAGGAGGUUACGGAGAUAGAGCGUGAGGAAUAGAAGAUGGGAAGAGAUGAAGAGAAAAUGGAGAGUAGCAGAGUGAAAAUGAAGUAGAGGAGAAGGGAGAGGAAAAUGGGAAAAGGAACGUGAUGAAGAGAGGGAGAGAAGGGAUAAGAGGAGGAGGCGGAGGAAUCAGAAUCAGAAUGCUUUAUUCCAUUAAAGUACAAUGUACAAUGGCUUUUCUCUUAAUUACUAAAUACUUUACAUGUAGUACAGAUAUCAUAUAUAAGACUUUCUUUAACUAAUCUUUUAUCUUAAUUACUAAAUAUUUACAUGGGAUAUCAUAUAUAGGAACUUGCUAGAUAUAAUACAUAUGUACGAGAUAAGUGUAUAUUAUGUCCUUCACGCGUUCUUUAGCAAAAGCCUCCUUGAAGAGCGUGAAUAGUUAGGGCUUUCUUGAAGCUCGUGAGUGACGGGAGUUCUUUUAUAUUAGGGGGGAGCUUGUUCCAUGCUCUUGGUCCACUUACUAAUAGUGGCCGCGCACCAUUGUCUGUUCUCACUCUUGGGAUAAAUAGGUCUCCGUUUUGUCUCGUUACAAGUUCGUUAAUUUGUGUUACAUAUGGUAAGUUUAGUAGCCACUCAGGAUAAUAUUUAUGGGUCACUUUAUACACCAUUAUGCACUGAUCGAAUUUCACUUUUUCUUUCAUCUUUAUCCACUUUAGUUCUUGUAACACAGGAGUAGCACGGUCG
Molecule: long non-coding RNA, 1164 nt
Organism: Eriocheir sinensis (Chinese mitten crab)
Lineage: Eukaryota; Metazoa; Arthropoda; Malacostraca; Decapoda; Varunidae
Exons: 3
Source: RefSeq, a predicted model, not a curated record